This 454-nucleotide ribosomal RNA is filed under the name uncultured bacterium. RNAcentral's name for it is "bacterial SSU rRNA". It matches the Rfam family "Bacterial small subunit ribosomal RNA", at positions 340 to 786 of the family's 1533-position model. The record is from RNAcentral.
UACGGAAGGCAGCAGUGGGGAAUAUUGCACAAUGGGCGAAAGCCUGAUGCAGCUAUGCCGCGUGUAUGAAGAAGGCCUUAGGGUUGUAAAGUACUUUCAUCGGGGAGGAAAAAACAAAACUAAUAAUUUUAUUUCUUGACGUUACCCGAAAAAGAAGCACCGGCUAACUCCGUGCCAGCAGCCGCGGUAAUACGGAGGGUGCUAGCGUUAAUCAGAAUUACUGGGCGUAAAGAGCACGUAGGUGGUUUUUUAAGUCAGAUGUGAAAUCCCUGGGCUUAACCUAGGAACUGCAUUUUGAAACUGAAAUACUAGAGUAUCGUAGAGGGAGGUAGAAUUCUAGGUGUAGCGGUGAAAUGCGUAGAUAUCUGGAGGAAUACCUGUGGCGAAAGCGGCCUCCUAAACGAAUACUGACACUGAGGUGCGAAAGCGUGGGGAGCAAACAGAAUUAGAUACC